AUACGGAGGGUGCAAGCGUUAUCCGGAAUCAUUGGGUUUAAAGGGUCCGUAGGCGGACUAAUAAGUCAGGGGUGAAAUCCCACAGCUUAACUGUGGAACUGCCUUUGAUACUGUUAGUCUUGAGUUAUAUGGAAGUAGAUAGAAUGUGUUGUGUAGCGGUGAAAUGCUUAGAGAUUACACAGAAUACCGAUUGCGAAGGCAGUCUACUACAUAUAUACUGACGCUAAUGGACGAAAGCGUGGGGAGCGAACAGGAUUAGAAACCCCAGUAGUCC
Molecule: ribosomal RNA, 274 nt
Filed under: uncultured bacterium
Lineage: Bacteria
Description: partial 16S ribosomal RNA
Rfam family: Bacterial small subunit ribosomal RNA
Source: RNAcentral